GACGAACGCUGGCGGCGUGCUUAACACAUGCAAGUCGAACGGAAAGGCCCUGCUUUUGUGGGGUGCUCGAGUGGCGAACGGGUGAGUAACACGUGAGUAACCUGCCCUUGACUUUGGGAUAACUUCAGGAAACUGGGGCUAAUACCGGAUAGGAGCUCCUGCUGCAUGGUGGGGGUUGGAAAGUUUCGGCGGUUGGGGAUGGACUCGCGGCUUAUCAGCUUGUUGGUGGGGUAGUGGCUUACCAAGGCUUUGCCGGGUAGCCGGCCUGAGAGGGUGACCGGCCACACUGGGAUUGAGAUACGGCCCAGACUCCUCCGGGACGCAGCAGUGGGGAAUAUUGCACAAUGGGCUGAAGCCUGAUGCAGCAACGCCGCGUGCGGGAUGACGGCCUUCGGGUUGUAAACCGCUUUCGCCUGUGACGAAGCGUGAGUGACGGUAAUGGGUAAAGAAGCACCGGCUAACUACGUG
RNAcentral lists this ribosomal RNA (468 nucleotides) under uncultured bacterium. Its description in RNAcentral is "partial 16S ribosomal RNA". It matches the Rfam family "Bacterial small subunit ribosomal RNA", at positions 28 to 507 of the family's 1533-position model. The record is from RNAcentral.